CCUACGGGCUGCAGCAGUCGAGAAUUUUUCACAAUGGGCGCAAGCCUGAUGGAGCGACGCCGCGUGGGGGAUGAAGGGUUUCGAUCCGUAAACCCCUGUCAUUUGCGAACAAACCUUAUUCAAUAACACUGGAUGAGCUGAUUGUAGCGGAAGAGGAAGGGACGGCUAACUCUGUGCCAGCAGCCGCGGUAAUACAGAGGUCCCAAGCGUUGUUCGGAUUCACUGGGCGUAAAGGGUGCGUAGGUGGCCAGGUAAGUUUGGUGUGAAAGCUCGGAGCUCAACUCCGAAAUGGCAUUGAAUACUAUCUGGCUGGAGGGCCGGAGGGGAGACUGGAAUUCUCGGUGUAGCAGUGGAGUGCGUAGAUAUCGAGAGGAACACCAGUGGCGAAGGCGAGUCUCUGGACGACAUCUGACACUGAGGCACGAAAGCUAGGGGAGCAAACAGGAUUAGAUACCCUAGUAGUC
Molecule: ribosomal RNA, 464 nt
Filed under: uncultured bacterium
Lineage: Bacteria
Description: bacterial SSU rRNA
Rfam family: Bacterial small subunit ribosomal RNA
Source: RNAcentral